GAUGAACGCUGGCGGCGUGCCUAAUACAUGCAAGUCGAGCGAAGAGGGGACGGGUGAGUAACACGUGGAUAACCUCCUAUAAGACUGGGAUAACUUCGGGAAACCGGCGCUAACCCGGAUACUUAUCGCUGGCUCCGCUUUGCAUUAGCUAGUUGGUAAGGUAACGGCUUACCAAGGCCACGAUGCAUAGCCGACCUGAGAGGGUGAUCGGCCACACUGGAACUGAGACACGGUCCAGACUCCUACGGGAGGCAUCAGUAGUGAAUCGUCCGCAAUGGGCGAAAGCCUGACGGAGCCACGCCGCGUGAGUGAAGAAGGUCUUCGGAUCGUAAAACUCUGUUAGUAGGGAAGCGGUACCUAAUCAGAAAGCCACGGCUAACUACGUGCCAGCAGCCGCGGUAAUAC
This 405-nucleotide ribosomal RNA is filed under the name uncultured bacterium. Its description in RNAcentral is "partial 16S ribosomal RNA". It matches the Rfam family "Bacterial small subunit ribosomal RNA", at positions 28 to 526 of the family's 1533-position model. The record is from RNAcentral.